RNAcentral lists this ribosomal RNA (995 nucleotides) under uncultured bacterium. RNAcentral describes it as "bacterial SSU rRNA". It matches the Rfam family "Bacterial small subunit ribosomal RNA", at positions 355 to 1375 of the family's 1533-position model. The record is from RNAcentral.
UGGGGAAUAUUGCACAAUGGGGGAAACCCUGAUGCAGCGACGCCGCGUGGAGGAAGAAGGUCUUCGGAUUGUAAACUCCUGUUGUUGAGGAAGAUAAUGACGGUACUCAACAAGGAAGUGACGGCUAACUACGUGCCAGCAGCCGCGGUAAAACGUAGGUCACAAGCGUUGUCCGGAAUUACUGGGUGUAAAGGGAGCGCAGGCGGGAGAACAAGUUGGAAGUGAAAUCCAUGGGCUCAACCCAUGAACUGCUUUCAAAACUGUUUUUCUUGAGUAGUGCAGAGGUAGGCGGAAUUCCCGGUGUAGCGGUGGAAUGCGUAGAUAUCGGGAGGAACACCAGUGGCGAAGGCGGCCUACUGGGCACCAACUGACGCUGAGGCUCGAAAGUGUGGGUAGCAAACAGGAUUAGAUACCCUGGUAGUCCACACCGUAAACGAUGAUUACUAGGUGUUGGAGGAUUGACCCCUUCAGUGCCGCAGUUAACACAAUAAGUAAUCCACCUGGGGAGUACGACCGCAAGGUUGAAACUCAAAGGAAUUGACGGGGGCCCGCACAAGCAGUGGAGUAUGUGGUUUAAUUCGACGCAACGCGAAGAACCUUACCAAGUCUUGACAUCCCUUGACGAACAUAGAAAUAUGUUUUCUCUUCGGAGCAAGGAGAUAGGUGGUGCAUGGUUGUCGUCAGCUCGUGUCGUGAGAUGUUGGGUUAAGUCCCGCAACGAGCGCAACCCUUGCUGUCAGUUACUACGCAAGAGGACUCUGGCAGGACUGCCGUUGACAAAACGGAGGAAGGUGGGGAUGACGUCAAAUCAUCAUGCCCUUUAUGACUUGGGCUACACACGUACUACAAUGGCGUUAAACAAAGAGAAGCAAGACCGCGAGGUGGAGCAAAACUCAGAAACAACGUCCCAGUUCGGACUGCAGGCUGCAACUCGCCUGCACGAAGUCGGAAUUGCUAGUAAUCGUGGAUCAGCAUGCCACGGUGAAUACGUUCCC